Molecule: ribosomal RNA, 496 nt
Filed under: uncultured bacterium
Lineage: Bacteria
Description: partial 16S ribosomal RNA
Rfam family: Bacterial small subunit ribosomal RNA
Source: RNAcentral
AUGCACGCUGGCGGCGUGCCUCAUCCCUGCAAGUCGAGCGAACAGAUGAGGAGCUUGCUCCUCUGACGUUAGCGGCGGACGGGUGAGUAACACGUGGAUAACCUACCUAUAAGACUGGGAUAACUUCGGGAAACCGGAGCUAAUACCGGAUAAUAUAUUGAACCGCAUGGUUCAAUAGUGAAAGACGGUUUUGCUGUCACUUAUAGAUGGAUCCGCGCCGCAUUAGCUAGUUGGUAAGGUAACGGCUUACCAAGGCGACGAUGCGUAGCCGACCUGAGAGGGUGAUCGGCCACACUGGAACUGAGACACGGUCCAGACUCCUACGGGAGGCAGCAGUAGGGAAUCUUCCGCAAUGGGCGAAAGCUUGACGGAGCAACGCCGCGUGAGUGAUGAAGGUCUUCGGAUCGUAAAACUCUGUUAUUAGGGAAGAACAAAUGUGUAAGUAACUAUGCACGUCUUGACGGUACCUAAUCAGAAAGCCACGGCUAACUACGUG